Long non-coding RNA from Phyllostomus discolor (pale spear-nosed bat), 353 nucleotides. RefSeq lists it as uncharacterized. Lineage: Eukaryota; Metazoa; Chordata; Mammalia; Chiroptera; Phyllostomidae. The record is from RefSeq and is a predicted model, not a curated record. The transcript is spliced from 2 exons.
AAUCUCAACAACAGUCUGAAAUCUCUUCCUUUUUGAAGGUGAUUUUAAUUUUGGGAAAAGCCAGAAGUCUCAGGGCACCAAAUCUGGGCUGUAGUGUGGCUGAGUCACUUGGGUGAUUUGGUGUUUUUCAAAAAAACUGUGCACGAGACAUGAUUCAUGAGCAGGUAUGUUGUCAUGACAAAGCUGCCAAUCACCAAUUACCCAUAGCUGUGACCUUGUGAAUCAUCUGAAUAAUUUCUGCAGAGGACUGUUCAAACUUAAUGCUAAAUUUGGUGCUGAUUCAUUGCUCUACUCAGUCAUUUUGACUGUGAUGGCCACACAGUACACAUGCUCACUCAAUGGCGUCUACUGCU